Molecule: ribosomal RNA, 253 nt
Filed under: uncultured bacterium
Lineage: Bacteria
Description: partial 16S ribosomal RNA
Rfam family: Bacterial small subunit ribosomal RNA
Source: RNAcentral
UACGAAGGGGGCUAGCGUUGCUCGGAAUCACUGGGCGUAAAGCGCACGUAGGCGGAUUCUUAAGUCGGUGGUGAAAUCCUGGAGCUCAACUCCAGAACUGCCUUCGAUACUGAGAGUCUCGAGUCCGGGAGAGGUGAGUGGAACUGCGAGUGUAGAGGUGAAAUUCGUAGAUAUUCGCAAGAACACCAGUGGCGAAGGCGGCUCACUGGCCCGGUACUGACGCUGAGGUGCGAAAGCGUAGGGAGCAAACAGG